This 676-nucleotide long non-coding RNA is filed under the name Chinchilla lanigera (long-tailed chinchilla). Its description in RNAcentral is "lncRNA (ENSCLAG00000027615.1)". The record is from RNAcentral. Lineage: Eukaryota; Metazoa; Chordata; Mammalia; Rodentia; Chinchillidae.
CUUCAGCCCCUCGCAAGGAGCCUGGAGUUUAAAGAAUUCAGGUAGUGAGACACAAUGAGACACAGUGACUUUGCAGCCCUGGUACUGUGCUUUUCUCCUGAUCUCAGCAGAUGCAGUCUUGCUCACUGCUCUUGGGAUUCACCUUGCGGGGACUGACGGAAGGUGGAGCUUCCAGGAAGCCGUUGUCUCUAAAGCCAGGACUAAACAGGGACCUCCCUGGCCUCAGUCAAGAGCUAUUUUUUGUACUUCUUGGGCAUCACCGUGGGGCAGUCAGUUCUCUCACAGAAUCUGUUUUGGAGUGAAGGCUGCGACGGGGGUUGGCAGACUGCGGUCUCUGAAGACGCAGGCAAUGUGGGCUACAGCCUGGUGAGUCCCUACAUCUCUACUAGCAACUUGCUCCUCUUCAGGGCUGCAACCUUCCCCAGGACACUAUCAAUUAGGCUCAUCGCUUUCCUUUAUUGUAAAACAAAGCUUGCCAUUUAUAGGAUUAAUUGGAGCAUGAAGACAUCACAGAGAAAACAAAUCAGCGUUGUGUUAACAGUUAAUUCAUCAUUCAAUAAAUACCUACGGUGUAAUACUGGCCGAAAUCCCAGCUCUGACACUGAAUUCUAAGAUACUGAGAGAACCGUAUCUACAAAUGCCACAAAUGCUGUCCCUCUUUUGUGAAGUGUACAGA